UAGGGAAUCUUCCGCAAUGGGCGAAAGCCUGACGGAGCAACGCCGCGUGAGUGAUGAAGGUCUUCGGAUCGUAAAACUCUGUUAUUAGGGAAGAACAAAUGUGUAAGUAACUAUGCACGUCUUGACGGUACCUAAUCAGAAAGCCACGGCUAACUACGUGCCAGCAGCCGCGGUAAUACGUAGGUGGCAAGCGUUAUCCGGAAUUAUUGGGCGUAAAGCGCGCGUAGGCGGUUUUUUAAGUCUGAUGUGAAAGCCCACGGCUCAACCGGGGGGGGUCAUUGGAAACUGGAAAACUUGAGUGCAGAAGAGGAAAGUGGAAUUCCAUGUGUAGCGGUGAAAUGCGCAAAGAUAUGGAGGAACACCAGUGGCGAAGGCGACUUUCUGGUCUGUAACUGACGCUGAUGUGCGAAAGCGUGGGGAUCAAACAGG
This 429-nucleotide ribosomal RNA is filed under the name Actinomycetes bacterium. Its description in RNAcentral is "Actinobacteria bacterium partial 16S ribosomal RNA". It matches the Rfam family "Bacterial small subunit ribosomal RNA", at positions 355 to 776 of the family's 1533-position model. The record is from RNAcentral. Lineage: Bacteria; Bacillati; Actinomycetota; Actinomycetes.